GGACUGUAGCUCAGUGGUACAGCGUGUGCCUGGCAUGUGUGAGACACUGGGUUCAAUCCUCGGCACCA
RNAcentral lists this transfer RNA (68 nucleotides) under Marmota monax (woodchuck). RNAcentral's name for it is "tRNA.Ala". The record is from RNAcentral. Lineage: Eukaryota; Metazoa; Chordata; Mammalia; Rodentia; Sciuridae.